UUUCUUGCAGUCCUGAAGCAUGGAGAAAUGCUCAACUCCUGAUGCAUGGAGAAAAGGCCUUCACAAGCCUCUGCUAAUGUGUACAUAGUUUCAGGGUAGCCCCCAAAAUAUUGGAACAUAUAAAAAAAAAAGACAACUCUGUUCCGCAGAGUAGCUGUUGACAUUAUAGUUUCGCAGGCGCUUUGUUGACUCUAGAGAACCUCAGGCCAAUCGCACAUCCCCAUGACGGUGACUUUGCAUUCGGAUGUCAUCCAUAUCAACUUUCGAUGCUAGUUUCUGCGCCUACCAUGGUGACCACGGGUAACGGGGAAUCAGGGUUCUAUUCCGUACAAGGACCCUGAGAAAUGGCUACCACAUACAAGGAAGGCAGCAGGCGCGCAAAUGACCCACUACCGACGCAGGAAGGUAGUGACGACAAAUAACAAUACAGGACUCUUUAGAGGCCCUGUAAUUGUAAUGAGUCCACUUGAAAACCUUUAACUCUGAUCAAUUGGAGGGAAGUCUGGUGCAGAGCCACUGACCCAUGCGUGCUGUAGCUGAAACUCCACU
RNAcentral lists this ribosomal RNA (549 nucleotides) under Pelobates cultripes (western spadefoot toad). It matches the Rfam family "Eukaryotic small subunit ribosomal RNA", at positions 117 to 590 of the family's 1831-position model. The record is from RNAcentral. Lineage: Eukaryota; Metazoa; Chordata; Amphibia; Anura; Pelobatidae.